GGGAGAGACUAAGGAGUUGUCCGUGAGAAGCUAGGGGUGCGGGAGCUCCGCGCUGCUGGGCACGGAGAAUCCUGGCGUUCCACGUCCACCCGGACCCGGCUUUGGGGUAAUUUCGAGCCCUCCACCCCCUGCAAGCCUUCUCGUGCUCCCACCCAGACCCAGAAAGCCAGCACAGCCCAUGUCAGAGCAAAGCAACGGGAUACGACAGAAUAACGGGGUGUGAAGCUCCCCCUGCUCGUGCUGGGGACCAGAAAAUGACAGAAGCAAAUGCUCGCCAUGCAGGUGGAACAAGGGAGGUGCACGGAGGUUGCCUGGAAGAGGUCAUACUUUAGCUAUUUUUCACCAUCGGCGAUCGAACAUUAACGUGCAAAGGCAACCACUGUGUUGUUUCUUAAAAAUGCAGAUUCCCUGUGCCUCAACUUCAGAGAGUUUCCUUUGCACAGCGUGCCGUCUGCAGACCAGACUCCACAGACUGCCCUG
Long non-coding RNA from Ailuropoda melanoleuca (giant panda), 480 nucleotides. RefSeq lists it as uncharacterized. The transcript has 4 exons. NCBI's taxonomy places the organism in Eukaryota, Metazoa, Chordata, Mammalia, Carnivora, Ursidae. The record is from RefSeq and is a predicted model, not a curated record.